RNAcentral lists this ribosomal RNA (253 nucleotides) under uncultured bacterium. RNAcentral describes it as "partial 16S ribosomal RNA". It matches the Rfam family "Bacterial small subunit ribosomal RNA", at positions 524 to 776 of the family's 1533-position model. The record is from RNAcentral.
UACGAAGGGGGCCAGCGUUGUUCGGAAUCACUGGGCGUAAAGCGCACGUAGGCGGAUUUGUAAGUCAGGGGUGAAAUCCCGGGGCUCAACCUCGGAACUGCCUUUGAUACUGCGAAUCUUGAGUCCGAUAGAGGUGGGUGGAAUUCCUAGUAUAGAGGUGAAAUUCGUAGAUAUUAGGAAGAACACCAGUGGCGAAGGCGGCCCACUGGAUCGGUACUGACGCUGAGGUGCGAAAGCGUGGGGAGCAAACAGG